UUAUAGUUUUUGUGUUUGUUAUCAACCAAUUACUUUGUUAAUAGUUAUGUCAAAUCGAAAUAAUGCAAAUAUCAUAGAAGGGAGGUAGUAUAGUGGAUUUGUUUUUCAAUCACAAGAAUCAAACUCUUCUAUGUGUUUGGUAUUUCCAAGUGGGUGAUGCAAUAGCUCCCACAUUGAUUGAUGUGAAAGCGUAGAGAGACUAAUGCGUUUCACUAUCCUCAUUAAUGGGAGUUAAGUUGCGUAGAUUCUAGAUGGAUAAAACGAGAAGAAAGUGUGUACACAAACAUCACUUUCAUACUUUUCAUCAAUUUUGAUUAAAUUUUGUUAAAAAUAGUUUAUUUAGUUUUAACUUUAAUAAUUAUGCUUAUUUAAACGAAUUUUAAAAUUAGCUUUUAUUUAGCAAAUUUUUAUAUAUAUUAUUUCCCUUGCUAACAUGAUUUAUAUCUGACCAUUAUCCUGAAUUGGCAAGAUCUAUAUACAAUUAAUCAGAAAACUAUUUAAAUUUUGCUCAUCAAUUAUUGAACAUUCUCUAUUAUUUAUCUCAUGCAAUUUUUUCUUUUCUUGAAUUAGAACAACCCAAACUUCAUGUCCUCAUAAUUAUGUGUAUGGUUAAUUAUCAAAAAGUAUAUUUAUGAAGUAACAAAAGAUUACUACUAUUCUUGAUUUUUGGGGAUAUUGGAGUAUAAGGUUAGGGAUGACAUUGAAAAUGGACAAUAUUCCCUAAAUAUCUAAAAAGUAUAUUUAUGAAGUAACAAAAGAUUAUCCCAUCAAUUUUGUGAAGUUAAUAAGUACUACUCCUAUAAUUUUAUAAAUUUUAAUUACUUGAUAGAAAAUAAAUAGAAAAUAAGUACUACUCCUACAAUAUUCCCUAGAAUCAGAAAUUGUGUUCCUUUGAAAACUUUAAUAUAAGAUCAUCCCAAACUUUCCUCCUCGCGACAUACUUUGCAACCCAAGCAAUCCUACCAUUUUCUCCCCUGAUUUUGUUCCAUCAUAUUCUUCCUCAAAUUCUAAGCGAUUAUCGAAGCCAACAAUCAUCUUUGUUCCAUCUGUCAAGGAACCAAUUCAACCAAAAACUUAAGCUGAUGGUUGAAGCCCCAGGAUAUGUUAUAUACUCUAACACCAUCCUUUUCCUCUGAUUUUCGAGUAUAACAAACAAAACAACAACAGGUAUAAUCUUUCCUCUCUCUUACUUAGAUUUCGAAGGUAAUUGCAACAAAUCAUCUUCAUUUUCUUUUCUUUUUCUUCUUGAGUCAUUGAUAUUCCUUCUACCCUUGAAUCAGUCGAACAACCAUAACCAUGGGCUUCAUGAUUGUUUUUCGAAAGCUGCAGAAAAUAUUCUGAAAUUUGGGACUAGAAUGCGAAACAGACAUUGUUGUGUGCCGUUUGUUUCAUUCAAAGCAGGGCCAUUAUCCUACUAAUUAAGACUGUCUACAUAUCGGAACCGGUCGGAAACGAUGGGUUAACGGUGAUGAUUAAAGUUAAAUGGAUGUUAAAUUGAGAUGAGUACGUGAGAAAUUAUAGCUUUGUAUUAGGUUUUGGUAAAUGUAUAUUGGACUAGAUUGUAUUGGUUAUGUUGGACUUAUAGAGUGACUUUUAUGAUUACUUUGUAUUUUAGCUAGAUGUUUGGUUUGAGAGUUAGCUAAGUUAGUUACGUUGAAGAAUUUAUGGCAAGAAAAAAGUCAACAAAGCUGAAUUGGAAAAGAAAUGCAUCCUUUCAACACUCCCUCUAAACUUGUGACUCUUUUGCUCAAGUUUUGAAAGUGUGAUUUAAGUUUUUUAGGAAAUAAAACCCGUGAUAAUCCUGUUUACUCAGUCAACGGUAAAUCGGGUUGCUACAUUGAAAGUGUGAGUAAAUUAUAAAGAAACAAAAUUGUGGGCAUGUUGCUCUCAACAUAUGUAUAAUUUCUGUGACAUUUGCCUAAAUAUUCCUUAAA
This is a long non-coding RNA of Amaranthus tricolor (Joseph's coat), 1934 nucleotides long. RefSeq lists it as uncharacterized. NCBI's taxonomy places the organism in Eukaryota, Viridiplantae, Streptophyta, Magnoliopsida, Caryophyllales, Amaranthaceae. The transcript is spliced from 2 exons. The record is from RefSeq and is a predicted model, not a curated record.